Molecule: ribosomal RNA, 465 nt
Filed under: uncultured Klebsiella sp.
Lineage: Bacteria; Pseudomonadati; Pseudomonadota; Gammaproteobacteria; Enterobacterales; Enterobacteriaceae
Description: bacterial SSU rRNA
Rfam family: Bacterial small subunit ribosomal RNA
Source: RNAcentral
CCUACGGGAGGCUGCAGUGGGGAAUAUUGCACAAUGGGCGCAAGCCUGAUGCAGCCAUGCCGCGUGUGUGAAGAAGGCCUUCGGGUUGUAAAGCACUUUCAGCGGGGAGGAAGGCGUUAAGGUUAAUAACCUUGUCGAUUGACGUUACCCGCAGAAGAAGCACCGGCUAACUCCGUGCCAGCAGCCGCGGUAAUACGGAGGGGGCAAGCGUUAAUCGGAAUUACUGGGCGUAAAGCGCACGCAGGCGGUCUGUCAAGUCGGAUGUGAAAUCCCCGGGCUCAACCUGGGAACGGCAUUCGAAACUGGCAGGCUAGAGUCUUGUAGAGGGGGGUAGAAUUCCAGGUGUAGCGGUGAAAUGCGUAGAGAUCUGGAGGAAUACCGGUGGCGAAGGCGGCCCCCUGGACAAAGACUGACGCUCAGGUGCGAAAGCGUGGGGAGCAAACAGGAUUAGAUACCCUAGUAGUC